CAAUAGCGUAUAUUAAAGUUGUUGCAGUUAAAAAGCUCGUAGUUGGAUUUCUGGUAGGAGCGACCGUGCCGAACUUGAUUGUUCGAGUAUUGUGUUGUCUUCAGCCAUCCUCGUGGAGAACUUUUCUAACAUUAACUUGUUGGGAUUGGGACCCGCGUCGUUUACUGUGAAAAAAUUAGAGUGUUUAAAGCAGGCAUUAGCUUGAAUACAUUAGCAUGGAAUAAUAAGAUAGGACUUUGGUACUAUUUUGUUGGUUUGCAUACCAAAUUAAUGAUCAACAGGAACAGUUUGAGGAUAUUCGUAUGAACAUGUCAGAGGUGAAAUUCUUGGAUUUUGAUCAGACGAACUACUGCGAAGGCAUUUAUCAAGGAUGUUUUCAUUAA
RNAcentral lists this ribosomal RNA (383 nucleotides) under uncultured eukaryote. Its description in RNAcentral is "partial 18S ribosomal RNA". It matches the Rfam family "Eukaryotic small subunit ribosomal RNA", at positions 592 to 976 of the family's 1831-position model. The record is from RNAcentral.